UGCAUGGCGAGCUGAUUGAGUUCAACGAGC
Molecule: non-coding RNA, 30 nt
Filed under: Homo sapiens (human)
Lineage: Eukaryota; Metazoa; Chordata; Mammalia; Primates; Hominidae
Source: RNAcentral